AUGUGCUGAUAUGUCAAGUUGUG
Molecule: small nuclear RNA, 23 nt
Filed under: Arabidopsis thaliana (thale cress)
Lineage: Eukaryota; Viridiplantae; Streptophyta; Magnoliopsida; Brassicales; Brassicaceae
Description: snRNA_02715
Source: RNAcentral